AGCUUAACUAUCGCAGUGCCUUUGAUACUGCAGGGCUUGAAUGUACUUGAGGUAGGCGGAAUGUGACAAGUAGCGGUGAAAUGCAUAGAUAUGUCACAGAACACCAAUUGCGAAGGCAGCUUACUAAAGUAUGAUUGACGCUGAGGCACGAAAGCGUGGGGAUCAAACAGGAUUAGAUACCCUGGUAGUCCACGCCCUAAACGAUGAAUACUCGAUGUUGGCGAUAUACAGUCAGCGUCAAAGCGAAAGCGUUAAGUAUUCCACCUGGGGAGUACGCCCGCAAGGGUGAAACUCAAAGGAAUUGACGGGGGCCCGCACAAGCGGAGGAGCAUGUGGUUUAAUUCGAUGAUACGCGAGGAACCUUACC
Molecule: ribosomal RNA, 367 nt
Filed under: uncultured bacterium
Lineage: Bacteria
Description: bacterial SSU rRNA
Rfam family: Bacterial small subunit ribosomal RNA
Source: RNAcentral